RNAcentral lists this unclassified non-coding RNA (206 nucleotides) under soil metagenome. RNAcentral describes it as "partial contains 5.8S ribosomal RNA, internal transcribed spacer 2, and large subunit ribosomal RNA". The record is from RNAcentral.
AACACUGUUAACCUGCGGUACCUGCGGAGGGAUCAUUACCGAGUUUACAACUCCCAAACCCCUGUGAACAUACCUAUACGUUGCCUCGGCGGAUCAGCCCGCGCCCCGUAAAAAGGGACGGCCCGCCCGAGGACCCCUAAACUCUGUUUUUAGUGGAACUUCUGAGUAAAACAAACAAAUAAAUCAAAACUUUCAGCAAUGGAUCU